GUUAGGAAAGGUUGGAUGGUGCUGCCACUCCGGAUUGAAUGUGACGUUGGAGCCUCCCCAUCCGAAUUUGUUGAUCCAUAAGGGACCUGCGGGGACCGCAGUGGAGUACGCAGAUAGGGCGACAGGAGGCUGGUCGACCACUGGUGAAAUGGUCAGUAACAACAAGCAGCACUUUAUUCAGGGCUAAAUAUAUGGGUGAAGGUGCAGCUCUUUACUAGGCCUGAUCAAUGAACAUAGACCUAUAGAUAAUACAUCCCUAAUACAUAAAUAACAUGAAUUGUUUGUUGUCUAGGCAGGUGAAAUAAAGGUUUCCAAGAAGGGAAAAACUGUUGCCGAUCUCGUGAAGGCAGCGGGCCCGUUUUACGCACUCCUUAAGGGUGAACAUUGUCAUUGUGCCGUUGAAGAUAUGCUUGCCAUCCUGAAGCGAACCAUGAAGCGGAAUGUGAAUGUGUUCAAACGUUCUCAUGAGUAGGUGAAAAUACUCAUGAUUUCACACCACCAGAGUCCAUCGAGUAUCACAUAA
Gadus morhua (Atlantic cod) is the source of this 523-nucleotide long non-coding RNA. RefSeq lists it as uncharacterized. NCBI's taxonomy places the organism in Eukaryota, Metazoa, Chordata, Actinopteri, Gadiformes, Gadidae. The record is from RefSeq and is a predicted model, not a curated record. The transcript is spliced from 2 exons.